GCCUGGGUGGCUCAGUCGGUUGAGCGUCCGACUUCGGCUCGGAUUGUGAUCUCGCAGUUCGUGAGUUUGAGCCCCACAUCAGGCU
This 85-nucleotide transfer RNA is filed under the name Felis catus (domestic cat). It matches the Rfam family "tRNA". From Rfam's summary of the family: Transfer RNA (tRNA) molecules are approximately 80 nucleotides in length. Their secondary structure includes four short double-helical elements and three loops (D, anti-codon, and T loops). RNAcentral also lists the same sequence under 2 other names. Lineage: Eukaryota; Metazoa; Chordata; Mammalia; Carnivora; Felidae. The record is from Rfam by way of RNAcentral.